GAUGAACGCUGACAGAAUGCUUAACACAUGCAAGUCAACUUGAAUUUGGGUUUUUAACUUAGAUUUGGGUGGCGGACGGGUGAGUAACGCGUAAAGAACUUGCCUCACAGCUAGGGACAACAUUUAGAAAUGAAUGCUAAUACCUGAUAUUAUGAUUUUAAGGCAUCUUAGAAUUAUGAAAGCUAUAAGCACUGUGAGAGAGCUUUGCGUCCCAUUAGCUAGUUGGAGAGGUAACAGCCCACCAAGGCGAUGAUGGGUAGCCGGCCUGAGAGGGUGAACGGCCACAAGGGGACUGAGACACGGCCCUUACUCCUACGGGAGGCAGCAGUGGGGAAUAUUGGACAAUGGACCGAGAGUCUGAUCCAGCAAUUCUGUGUGCACGAUGAAGUUUUUCGGAAUGUAAAGUGCUUUCAGUUGGGAAGAAAGAAAUGACGGUACCAACAGAAGAAGUGACGGCUAAAUACGUGCCAGCAGCCGCGGUAAUACGUAUGUCACGAGCGUUAUCCGGAUUUAUUGGGCGUAAAGCGCGUCUAGGUGGUUAUGUAAGUCUGAUGUGAAAAUGCAGGGCUCAACUCUGUAUUGCGUUGGAAACUGUAUAACUAGAGUACUGGAGAGGUUAGCGAAACUCCUAGUGAAGCGGUGGAAUGCGUAGAUAUUAGGAAGAACGCCAAUAGGCGAGCGCAGCUAACUGGCUAUAUAUUGACACUAAAGGGACGAAAGCGUGGGUGAGCAAACAGG
This 738-nucleotide ribosomal RNA is filed under the name uncultured Fusobacterium sp. Its description in RNAcentral is "bacterial SSU rRNA". It matches the Rfam family "Bacterial small subunit ribosomal RNA", at positions 28 to 776 of the family's 1533-position model. The record is from RNAcentral. Lineage: Bacteria; Fusobacteriati; Fusobacteriota; Fusobacteriia; Fusobacteriales; Fusobacteriaceae.